GCGAAAAUGUGCUCUUAUCACGAUUUCAUCACUUCGAAGGAAAGUUUGAUCGAAUUAGAAGUUGUUCUUAGCAAAGUUGUACUUUUGAGUAAUUAAAGGCUACGUUGAAAUUAACUAACGUGUUAAUACACUCUUUAGCGAUUUCUACAGUGCCAGCUGUAUUGAAACGAGUAAGUAAACCUUCAAUUACGUAGCAUUUAGUCCAAACUAAUAUCAAACAAUAUACCAAUCUGACUUCGAUUUUUAACAGAAAAAUGGAAGCGGAAAUGAACAACGGUGACCAUAACAACCACGAGCACACCAUCGCCAACCAACGAAUCCGUCAAACCUGCAAAAUUACAAAAAGACAUGGCGAAAUAUAUCGGAAAUGCUACGUGCAAAAUGGUAACGGUCCAGAAACGAUGAAAUGGAUCAAGUUAGAGUUCCUGCAAUGGUGGGACGAGCUGACUGAAAAUACGGAUCAUUACGAAGAGUAACUAGUUAAUACGAUAACGACGGCGUAGAAACUCCAGCGAAUCGACGUAUUUGCGGGUGAAUCAGCGCACCAGAUUGCGACGAAUGAAACACAUACAAGAUGUGAUCAUUGUCGUGAUAAUUUUAGUCAUAUCAUAUUAAUUUGCAUUUUCGUACUUGUCUUUCAUACCUUAAAUAUAGAUGUAUUAUAUACUG
Long non-coding RNA from Planococcus citri (citrus mealybug), 669 nucleotides. RefSeq lists it as uncharacterized. Lineage: Eukaryota; Metazoa; Arthropoda; Insecta; Hemiptera; Pseudococcidae. The transcript is spliced from 2 exons. The record is from RefSeq and is a predicted model, not a curated record.